RNAcentral lists this ribosomal RNA (241 nucleotides) under uncultured bacterium. RNAcentral's name for it is "partial 16S ribosomal RNA". It matches the Rfam family "Bacterial small subunit ribosomal RNA", at positions 95 to 334 of the family's 1533-position model. The record is from RNAcentral.
CCGGCGCACGGGUGAGUAACGCGUACCCAACCUGCCGUCUACUCUUGGCCAGCCUUCUGAAAGGAAGAUUAAUCCAGGAUGGCAUCAUGAGUUCACAUGUCCGCAUGAUUAAAGGUAUUUUCCGGUAGACGAUGGGGAUGCGUUCCAUUAGAUAGUAGGCGGGGUAACGGCCCACCUAGUCAACGAUGGAUAGGGGUUCUGAGAGGAAGGUCCCCCACAUUGGAACUGAGACACGGUCCAA